This 460-nucleotide ribosomal RNA is filed under the name uncultured bacterium. Its description in RNAcentral is "partial 16S ribosomal RNA". It matches the Rfam family "Bacterial small subunit ribosomal RNA", at positions 338 to 795 of the family's 1533-position model. The record is from RNAcentral.
CCUACGGGUGGCAGCAGUGGGGAAUAUUGGUCAAUGGGCGCGAGCCUGAACCAGCCAAGUAGCGUGAAGGAUGACUGCCCUACGGGUUGUAAACUUCUUUUAUAUGGGAAUAAAAUGUUCCACGUGUGGGAUAUUGUAUGUACCAUAUGAAUAAGGAUCGGCUAACUCCGUGCCAGCAGCCGCGGUAAUACGGAGGAUCCGAGCGUUAUCCGGAUUUACUGGGUUUAAAGGGAGCGUAGGUGGAUUGUUAAGUCAGUUGUGAAAGUUUGCGGCUCAACCGUAGAAUUGCAGUUGAAACUGGCAGUCUUGAGUACAGGAGAGGUAGGCGGAAUUCGUGGUGUAGCGGUGAAAUGCGUAGAUAUCACGAAGAACACCGAUUGCGAAGGCAGUUCACUGGACUGCAACUGACGCUGAGGCUCGAAAGUGUGGGUAGCAAACAGGAUUAGAUACCCGAGUAGUC